GGGGCUGAUUCUGGAUUCGACGGGAUUUGCGAAACCCAAGGUGCAUGCCGAGGGGCGGUUGGCCUCGUAAAAAGCCGCAAAAAAAUAGUCGCAAACGACGAAACCUACGCUUUAGCAGCUUAAUAACCUGCUUAGAGCCCUCUCUCCCUAGCCUCCGCUCUUAGGACGGGGAUCAAGAGAGGUCAAACCCAAAAGAGAUCGCGCGGAUGCCUUGCCUGGGGUUGAAGCGUUAAAACGAAUCAGGCUAGUCUGGUAGUGGCGUGUCCGUCCGCAGGUGCCAGGCGAAUGUAAAGACUGACUAAGCAUGUAGUACCGAGGAUGUAGGAAUUUCGGACGCGGGUUCAACUCCCGCCAGCUCCACCA
This 363-nucleotide transfer-messenger RNA is filed under the name Salmonella enterica subsp. enterica serovar 43:a:1,7. It matches the Rfam family "transfer-messenger RNA". From Rfam's summary of the family: Bacterial tmRNA, also known as 10Sa RNA or SsrA, is named for its dual tRNA and mRNA-like properties. The record is from RNAcentral. Lineage: Bacteria; Pseudomonadati; Pseudomonadota; Gammaproteobacteria; Enterobacterales; Enterobacteriaceae.